GAUGGUAUAGGUCAGUGGUAGAGCAUGUGCUUAGUGUGCACAGGGUCCUGGAUUCAAUCCCCAGUACCUCUG
RNAcentral lists this transfer RNA (72 nucleotides) under Camelus bactrianus (Bactrian camel). It matches the Rfam family "tRNA". From Rfam's summary of the family: Transfer RNA (tRNA) molecules are approximately 80 nucleotides in length. Their secondary structure includes four short double-helical elements and three loops (D, anti-codon, and T loops). Lineage: Eukaryota; Metazoa; Chordata; Mammalia; Artiodactyla; Camelidae. The record is from Rfam by way of RNAcentral. RNAcentral also lists the same sequence under 1 other name.